AAAUUUGACCUCGGAUCAGGUAGGAAUACCCGCUGAACUUAAGCAUA
Molecule: ribosomal RNA, 47 nt
Filed under: Diaporthe phaseolorum
Lineage: Eukaryota; Fungi; Ascomycota; Sordariomycetes; Diaporthales; Diaporthaceae
Description: partial 28S ribosomal RNA
Source: RNAcentral